RNAcentral lists this ribosomal RNA (253 nucleotides) under uncultured bacterium. RNAcentral's name for it is "partial 16S ribosomal RNA". It matches the Rfam family "Bacterial small subunit ribosomal RNA", at positions 524 to 776 of the family's 1533-position model. The record is from RNAcentral.
UACAGAGGUCCCAAGCGUUGUUCGGAUUCAUUGGGCGUAAAGGGUGCGUAGGUGGCGUCGUAAGUCGGGUGUGAAAUCUCGGGGCUUAACUCCGAAACUGCAUUCGAUACUGCGGUGCUUGAGGACUGGAGAGGAGACUGGAAUUUACGGUGUAGCAGCGAAAUGCGUAGAGAUCGUAAGGAAGACCAGUGGCGAAGGCGGGUCUCUGGACAGUUCCUGACACUGAGGCACGAAGGCCAGGGGAGCAAACGGG